AGAACGAACGUUGAUGGCGUGCCUCAUACAUGCAAGUCGAGCGGGUAGCAAUACCAGCGGCGGACGGGUGAGUAACACGUAAACAAUCUACCCUGAAGCGGGGAAUAACUAUCCCAACGGAUAGCUAAUACCGCAUAAUGAUGGAGGCGGCAUCGUCUCUUCUCAAAAGGCUUCGGCCACUUCAGGAUGAGUUUGCGUCCCAUUAGCUUGUUGGCGGUGUAACGGACCACCAAGGCUACGAUGGGUAUCCGGCCUGAGAGGGUGUACGGACACAUUGGGACUGAGAUACGGCCCAGACUCCUACGGGAGGCAGCAGUAGGGAAUUUGCGCAAUGGAGGAAACUCUGACGCAGCAACGGCCAUGUGUGGAUGAAGCAUUUCGGUGUAGUAAACCGACUGUUCAGGACGGGAAUAAAGUGGUACGCGUUCGGCGGCAGUUAGAAUCGUACCCGAGAAACGGACGACCCCGGCUAACUUCGUGCC
This 482-nucleotide ribosomal RNA is filed under the name uncultured soil bacterium. RNAcentral's name for it is "bacterial SSU rRNA". It matches the Rfam family "Bacterial small subunit ribosomal RNA", at positions 26 to 509 of the family's 1533-position model. The record is from RNAcentral.